AUAUUGCAGAGCUGCAAAGCAAAAUUAACCAUUUAAAUAUUGGAGGGAAUGGGCACAGGGGAGGCCUCUCCUAAAACCCUUCCUGACCAUGCUGAAAAGAAAGCCAGUGUGAAAGAGUGAGGAUGCUGGGAGAGGAGAAAGAGCAGAAGAGCCGAUGCUGAGAUAAUUUUAGUCCAAAAACAAUGAGAUACAGUGUUGUAGAAAAACACAAGAAUGCAGAACUACUACUACAUAUCUGAACUGGUGAUGGAGUCAACGUGAUCAAGAAACUCAAGCACAAACGUUUUUAAAGAGCCUUUUGUUUUAUUUUCCUAUCAAUGUGUUGUCUUUCUCCUGAAUAGAGAACUUGGAGAAAAUAUUCAUGGCUUUGUCACAACAUUAACAAAUUACACUCGAAAGUAUAAGAAAAAGUACUUUUGAGUUGUGAACUAGAGUGAAGCAGGUUCAAGACAGAAAGAGAACUAGAGGACUGACAGUCUCUAAGGUGCCUACACUUAGACACGAACCACCCCACCUAGCAUGACAGACAUGUUUCCUGGAGGCAGACAGACAGCAGAUCUUUGCACAGUACUGCCAUGGCUCAAGACCUCAAGUUACACUUACAACUGUUAGGAACUCAGUCUUUGGCUGUCUACCUUUCAUUCAUUGUUUUCUGCCUGCAAAGUCAAUGGUUCGCAUCAUUCAUGAUGUAUCUUGGUUUAACCUCCCCAAAAUUGCUGACCAAAUUGGUGAAUUUUAACCCAUUGUUUCGUCCCAGUAAGCCACAGUUUCUUCCACUGGAAAUGGGAAUGAUAAAGCUAGCAACUUUUAAUCUUGAGCAUAAAUACAAAUAACACACAUAAAAUACAAGAUACAAAUGGAUCCAGGCUCCAAAAUGAGGUGAGAUCCCACACCAGUUGCACCAAUGACUUCUUGUGAGCCUGGACUGGUAGUCACUGAAGUUCUUGGUGCCUUGGCUGCAAAUGGUAAAUAAUUAAAACAUCUACCUCUUCAGGUGAGUUAUGAUUGUCCAUUGUUUGUACAAUACUUUGAAGACACAUAAUGAAAUUUUUAUCUCGUUUGAUUUAAAAUUUGAAAAUGCUAAUAUGAAAAUGCUGGUAUGCAAAAUGGGUAACACUAAACGAUGAAGACCAUAUAUUAGAAAC
Long non-coding RNA from Peromyscus eremicus (cactus mouse), 1145 nucleotides. RefSeq lists it as uncharacterized. The record is from RefSeq and is a predicted model, not a curated record. The transcript has 2 exons. Lineage: Eukaryota; Metazoa; Chordata; Mammalia; Rodentia; Cricetidae.